AGAAGAUUUUGAUACAUAUUCCCUGAAGUUGAAGGACAUGUGGACUUGUGUUUGACUGUCAUGUGAAAAAUCAAGAGACAGACAAACAGUAUAGAUGCUGAUGGAUGAGCUGAAGUGAAAGUAGCUGCUUUAGGAUCAGCCUACACUCCAACAGCAUGUGAAGAGCCCAGUGCAGCUGAAAUCCUAGAAGACCUCACAACUGUGUUAAAUUUUCACAGCUGACCACUUAAAGGCAGUUCUCUUCAAAUAAGAGAGUCUCACUCUCUCACCCAGGCUGGAGUGCGGU
RNAcentral lists this long non-coding RNA (286 nucleotides) under Homo sapiens (human). RNAcentral describes it as "HSALNT0313780". The record is from RNAcentral. Lineage: Eukaryota; Metazoa; Chordata; Mammalia; Primates; Hominidae.